CGGGGGGGCAAGCGUUGUUCGGAAUUACUGGGCGUAAAGGGUGCGUAGGCGGCUUUCUAAGUUGGAUGUGAAAACUCUGGGCUCAACCCAGAGCCUGCAUCCAAAACUGGAGAGCUUGGGUACUGGAGGGGAAAGCGGAAUUCCUGGUGUAGCGGUGAAAUGCGUAGAUAUCAGGAGGAACACCGGUGGCGAAGGCGGCUUUCUGGACAGUUACCGACGCUGAGGCACGAAAGCUAGGGGAGCAAACAGGAUUAGAUACCCUGGUAGUCCUAGCCCUAAACGAUGGAUACUUGCUGUGAGGGGGAUUGAAACCCUUUGUGGCGAAGCUAACGCAUUAAGUAUCCCGCCUGGGGAGUACGGUCGCAAGGCUG
Molecule: ribosomal RNA, 371 nt
Filed under: uncultured organism
Description: bacterial SSU rRNA
Rfam family: Bacterial small subunit ribosomal RNA
Source: RNAcentral